ACGAAAUUGUGGACAUACAAAAUGGACAGCUGUGUUGUUUUAUGUACAUGUCGGUCAUUGUUAUGUCGCUGCCUUCUUACAAAUGUUCAUGUAGUAGACUUCACAACGUCAUUUACAGUUCACUGUCGUGUAGUCAUGUCGUGUCACUCUCUAUGUGUUCAACAUUUAAGGUGUAUAAUUAUUGAAAUGGACACUGCUUUUAAUUUACACUACGAUGACGAAAAUGUUAUUAAAAAAUUGAUGUUCUGCGCAUAAGAAGCAUGCCUUUCUGAUCACACAAGUCCGUUCGAACUUCCUAAUACCAAGCGAGCGGAAGUUUUAUUGAAAUAAAAUGACUUUUAAGUAUUGCUUAUUAUUGUAGAUUCAAUUAAUUCUUGUUUAAACGAGGAAUUAUUUUGUUCUUUAAUAAAUGAAAUAAAGGAAUAUUGGGUCUCAUGCAUAAAAACGAGUAAAAGCGCUGAGUUGAGUCAAGUGAGCAAUUGCUCGUAAGUCGAGUUCGAACAAACAGCAACAGCUCUUGCUCAAUUUCGUAUGCAUAAAAAUGAGUUCAAACCAAUUACAAUUACUUGAGCAAACGGAGAUCAAACCUCUAAGUGCAAACAUGUCGUCAAGUGGAAGUGAGUUUGAAGUAGAGCUAAAAAAUAAUAAUAAAAUGGAAAUGGACGAUAUUUCAAAAUUUUUAGUAGAAAAAAUAAAAGAAAAAAAAUAUUUGCUCGAAAAAAGUCAGUUACCAAGUGUAAAAAGUAAACAAGCAAUAAAAAUAUGUGUGAAGGAAAUUUGGCAAAAAUUUGGAAUUGAACUGUUGGAGAAAAACAUUAUAAAAAAAAUAGCAAACAUGAAAUGUCGAGUUAAAAGUAAAAUAGACAUAAAUAAAACAGGCAAUAAGAAGAUUAUUUUAAAAAACUGGGAAGCAGAAUUAUCUUCAUUGCUUUGUUCUGAUUGUAAUCCCUCGACAAAAAAACUUCCUGUUCUCUUUUUCUUGGAAGCAAUGGCGAUACAUUAAAAGAGACAUCAACAACAACAACAUCAGAAACAAAAACAACAGUAACAUCAGCAGCAAAACAGCAAAUAAAGCGCCGUUGCACUGAUAGCGACGACCAAACUGUUAACAAAAAGUCAACAGCAGUUUUGAGUCGUUAUGAGACUGAUGAGACAAGGCAGCUAAAUUUUCAAAGUCUGCAUAGGCUUUUUUUGUUAAAGCAAAACAAAGUUCUUUCCGCAAAAUUAGAGAUUUUGCAGGAAAAACUUGGGGAAAGAGGGUUGGAGUUCCCUGAAUAAUUACAUUUAUUAAUAAAUAAUUAAUUAUUAUUAUAUUUUUGUGCAUUUAUUAUUUUUAUUCGUUAAAUAGUGAAUUAAAUUAAUUUUGUUUUUGUAUAAAAAAGGGGAUUUUAUUAAUGUUAAUUGUUUUUAUAAACCCAAAAAAAAAUAAAAAUAUUGUUUUAUUUUAUUUUUAUUACAAACUAAUUUGAUAAUAAAUUUGCGAUCAUCCUCCUUUUGUUUUUUCCAGCUUCUGAAAUUCUUGCUGUUUGUUGUUCGAUAUAAUUUCCUGAUGUGUGGCAAUCAUUAUUGUUGUAAUCGUCAUUGAUUAGGAUGUAAUCGUCUCUUAAAAAUUUAGCAAUGUUAUGUAAAAUUAAACAACUAGCUAUUACGUGAGGCGCCAGCUCUGUCGAUACACGAAUUUUAUAUUGAAGUAUCGAAAACCUUUGCUUCAAUUGUCCAAAACACCGCUCUAUAAUGACACGUUCCUUUGUAAACACUUUGUUGAAAUUUUUUUCUACUUCAGUUGUUGGGUUCCGGAAUGGUGUCUUUAGCCAUGGACAUAUCCCAUAGCCCUCCUCCCCGAGAAGUAAUGCAUCGUUUGUUACAUUUUGCAUUAUCCUACAUACCUCGCUGUUUCGUAGGACGCGUGAAUAAAAAAAAUAAUUAGCCAACCAGCAGAUGCUACUAUCAUCAAACCUAUGUAUUUUCAUUUUAUUAUUAAUUAUAUAAAAAAUUAAUAAUUAAGAAUAUAAACCUGUAUAAUUUUUUAUCCUCACUUACUAAACUUGUUUUACGCUGUUGAUAA
Long non-coding RNA from Bactrocera neohumeralis, 2065 nucleotides. RefSeq lists it as uncharacterized. NCBI's taxonomy places the organism in Eukaryota, Metazoa, Arthropoda, Insecta, Diptera, Tephritidae. The record is from RefSeq and is a predicted model, not a curated record. The transcript is spliced from 3 exons.